UACGUAGGGGCUAGCGUUAUCCGGAAUUACUGGGCGUAAAGGGUGCGUAGGCGGUCUUUCAAGCCAGAGGUGAAAGGCUACGGCUCAACCGUAGUAAGCCUUUGAAACUGGGAAACUUGAGUGCAGGAGAGGAGAGUGGAAUUCCUAGUGUAGCGGUGAAAUGCGUAGAUAUUAGGAGGAACACCAGUUGCGAAGGCGGCUCUCUGGACUGUAACUGACACUGAGGCACGAAAGCGUGGGGAGCAAACAGGAUUAGAUACCCGGGUAGUCCCUGAG
This 276-nucleotide ribosomal RNA is filed under the name uncultured prokaryote. RNAcentral's name for it is "partial 16S ribosomal RNA". It matches the Rfam family "Bacterial small subunit ribosomal RNA", at positions 524 to 801 of the family's 1533-position model. The record is from RNAcentral.